Molecule: ribosomal RNA, 446 nt
Filed under: uncultured bacterium
Lineage: Bacteria
Description: partial 16S ribosomal RNA
Rfam family: Bacterial small subunit ribosomal RNA
Source: RNAcentral
CCUACGGGGUGCAGCAGUCGAGAAUUAUUCACAAUGGGGGAAACCCUGAUGGUGCGACGCCGCGUGGGGGAAUGAAGGUCUUCGGAUUGUAAACCCCUGUCAUGUGGGAGCAAAUUAAAAAGAUAGUACCACAAGAGGAAGAGACGGCUAACUCUGUGCCAGCAGCCGCGGUAAUACAGAGGUCUCAAGCGUUGUUCGGAAUCACUGGGCGUAAAGGGUGCGUAGGCUGUUUCGUAAGUCGUGUGUGAAAGGCGCGGGCUCAACCCGCGGAGGGCACAGGAUACUGCGAGACUAGAGUAAUGGAGGGGGAACCGGAAUUCUCGGUGUAGCAGUGAAAUGCGUAGAUAUCGAGAGGAACACUCGUGGCGAAGGCGGGUUCCUGGACAUUAACUGACGCUGAGGCACGAAGGCCAGGGGAGCGAAAGGGAUUAGAUACCCUUGUAGUC